Molecule: long non-coding RNA, 229 nt
Filed under: Capsicum annuum
Lineage: Eukaryota; Viridiplantae; Streptophyta; Magnoliopsida; Solanales; Solanaceae
Description: long non-coding RNA (CANN_LNC011604)
Source: RNAcentral
GGGAACACAUCUAAAUAUUCAUUCACUACUGGGACUGAUUCAAGACUGGGAGUUUUGGAACUAGAGUCCUUAACUCGAAUAAGAUGAUAGACACAUCCCUUGGAUAUCAUUUUUCUUUCCCUUAGGUAGGAAAUAAGCUGACCCCUGAAGGCUGAAGUAUUACCUCUCCACUCUAGGAUGGGUUCAUUCAAAAACUAAAAAUGGACAAUUUUGUUUUUGCAGUUGACUG